GACGAACGCUGGCGGCGUGCUUAACACAUGCAAGUCGAACGGAAAGGCCCUGCUUUUGUGGGGUGCUCGAGUGGCGAACGGGUGAGUAACACGUGAGUAACCUGCCCUUGACUUUGGGAUAACUUCAGGAAACUGGGGCUAAUACCGGAUAGGAGCUCCUGCUGCAUGGUGGGGGUUGGAAAGUUUCGGCGGUUGGGGAUGGACUCGCGGCUUAUCAGCUUGUUGGUGGGGUAGUGGCUUACCAAGGCUUUGACGGGUAGCCGGCCUGAGAGGGUGACCGGCCACAUUGGGACGGAGAUACGGCCCAGACUCCUACGGGAGGAAGAGGUGGGGAAUAUUGCACAAGGGGCGGAAGCCGGAUGCAGCAACGCCGCGGGCGGGAUGACGGCCUUCGGGUUGAAAACCGCUUUCGCCUGUGACGAGGCGUGAGUGACGGUAAUGGGGAAAGAAGCACCGGCUAACUACGG
RNAcentral lists this ribosomal RNA (467 nucleotides) under uncultured bacterium. Its description in RNAcentral is "partial 16S ribosomal RNA". It matches the Rfam family "Bacterial small subunit ribosomal RNA", at positions 28 to 506 of the family's 1533-position model. The record is from RNAcentral.